Regulatory RNA element from Orchesella cincta, 46 nucleotides. It matches the Rfam family "Histone 3' UTR stem-loop". Rfam says of the family: The mRNAs of metazoan histone genes lack a poly-A tail. The record is from Rfam. NCBI's taxonomy places the organism in Eukaryota, Metazoa, Arthropoda, Collembola, Entomobryomorpha, Orchesellidae.
CCAAUGGCCCUUCUAAGGGCCACCAAAAUUUCCAAAGAGCGAGUUU